AGUGAACGCUGGCGGUAGGCCUAACACAUGCAAGUCGAACGGCAGCACAGUAAGAGCUUGCUCUUACGGGUGGCGAGUGGCGGACGGGUGAGGAAUACAUCGGAAUCUACUUUUCGUGGGGGAUAACGUAGGGAAACUUACGCUAAUACCGCAUACGACCUACGGGUGAAAGCAGGGGAUCUUCGGACCUUACGCUAUUGAAUGAGCCGAUGUCGGAUUAGCUAGUUGGCGGGGUAAAGGCCCACCAAGGCGACGAUCCGUAGCUGGUCUGAGAGGAUGAUCAGCCACACUGGAACUGAGACACGGUCCAGACUCCUACGGGAGGCAGCAGUGGGGAAUAUUGGACAAUGGGCGCAAGCCUGAUCCAGCCAUACCGCGUGGGUGAAGAAGGCCUUCGGGUUGUAAAGCCCUUUUGUUGGGAAAGAAAAGCAGCAGGUUAAUACCCCGCUGUUCUGACGGUACCCAAAGAAUAAGCACCGGCUAACUUCGUG
RNAcentral lists this ribosomal RNA (491 nucleotides) under uncultured bacterium. Its description in RNAcentral is "partial 16S ribosomal RNA". It matches the Rfam family "Bacterial small subunit ribosomal RNA", at positions 29 to 507 of the family's 1533-position model. The record is from RNAcentral.